Molecule: long non-coding RNA, 1140 nt
Organism: Paralichthys olivaceus (Japanese flounder)
Lineage: Eukaryota; Metazoa; Chordata; Actinopteri; Pleuronectiformes; Paralichthyidae
Source: RefSeq, a predicted model, not a curated record
AACAAACACUGCGGUCCCUCAUUUCCUCCUGAGUUUCUCUGUGUGCAGACUGGUGGUCAAAAAUACCUUGGCCAGCAGAUGGUUUGCUGUUUCCAGUUGUUGCUCCAGAUGCUUGUCUCUGCAAAGACAACAGAGAAAAACAUCCUCAUCAGAACAUUACAUGUGAAUAGGAAAAGCAUGAUGGGAAGUCAUGCUCACACAGAACUACAGUCGGUCUCGGUGAACAUGUUGGAGCACAGCCUCUGCUCUGUGUGAGUGCAGACAGGAUGAGCUGUGGUGAUCUAUAAUCCAUGUUUCUGCCGCGGAGGCACGCUCGCUCUGCCCUAACAGCUCCCAACUGUUCUCCCCUGACAGACUGGUGCUGCUCUGCAACAUUACAAGAAGCACUCAGCUCCCAAAAUAAGACAGCUUUCAAAUGCUCCACACCACCACGCGCACAGGAGGAGUCCUGUCUGCAUCGGUGGCAUCGCUCACGUCCUCAAUGUGUUUUCCUGGAGAAAGAUAAUUUUGCAUCACGUUGAGCUUUCGUGCAAAGAAAAAAAAUUGUAACUUAACAUUCUGCUCCUGCAAAAAUGUUUCUAGUACGAGAGCAUCACUCACACAGCUGAGCCGUGUGGGUGUGAUUUGAUUUAGAGCACAUUGUAUUUCAGAGACCGUCCUUCCAUCUCAGCCCGCAGCCUGAAUUAUUAAUCCCGUGUGUUCAAUGAAUUUCAAAUGCCAAAGUAGUGUUGAUGUUAUCGAGUUCAGUGUGAGCGAAGCAAAUAUUGAACUGACUCAAGACACUCGAACAUCCUCCUCCUCGAGUCCCAUGUGCCAUCGUGAGUGAGAGAGCCAGAGGGAGAGACAGUUGCUUUGCAGUGUGGCCGUCAUCUGCUUUUCUGUUUACACGCACAAAUCGAAGUGAGCGAACACCAUUGGGAUUCCCAGCGACACGCAGACUCUCGUCCGCUUCAGUGCCGCACGGCGACGGUGCCAGACAUUGCACCUCCACCCACCAGAACAUGUGCGAGCAUUCAGCGGCAGCCAGAGUCCGCGAACAAUAACGUGUGAGCGAUUGUCUCGGUGCAGCUGGAAAACGCAAUGCAAUUUUGAGAAAUCAAGACAAAUGCACAAAGUUGAUAUUAAAAAGCUGCUGCAGGG